UGUAUUCCACAUUCCUGUAGCCUUCACAGAGUCAAAGAUUUCAGUCAACACACGGAUGAGGCGUUACGAGCUGUCAGGUGUCUUCAUUCAGUCUCCUCACAGUGUUGGAAAUUGUUUUAAAAAGUUGCGUUAUCCUUCUGGUUUUGCGUUGACACUGAAAGGGGGGAAGGAGUCCGCCGUCGGCUCGUCAUGCAGGGGCGACGAUUUCCCACAACAGCGGCGGUGGGACGCGCCGGAGACAGCUGCAGGCUCUGGCACGAAGAGCAGGAAUUGCAAGCAGGCGAGAGGAGGCUCUCCGCGCUGUGGAGAGGGGAGGUGCGCACAGCUCAAAACCACCGAGCUGCUUCCCGACUCCAAACGCGCUCUUGUCUGUUCCUCCCUCCUCCCACUGGACCCUGAACACAUCUGACCUGCAUGCACGUGCAGUAUAUGGAGCGCCCCCUCUCCAAGGUGUGCUCGCCGGGCAGCUGGAAUGCUGUGCCAGUGUAUGUAGACCUGCUGGAGAUAUAAAGUGUUGGUCUAGAGAUUCCAUCAAGUCUCCCUUCAUCCUUUCAAACACAACACAGGAUUAUUGAACCAGCCAGCUGCAAUAA
Notolabrus celidotus (New Zealand spotty) is the source of this 593-nucleotide long non-coding RNA. RefSeq lists it as uncharacterized. The record is from RefSeq and is a predicted model, not a curated record. NCBI's taxonomy places the organism in Eukaryota, Metazoa, Chordata, Actinopteri, Labriformes, Labridae. The transcript is spliced from 3 exons.